RNAcentral lists this transfer RNA (72 nucleotides) under Camelus bactrianus (Bactrian camel). It matches the Rfam family "tRNA". Rfam says of the family: Transfer RNA (tRNA) molecules are approximately 80 nucleotides in length. Their secondary structure includes four short double-helical elements and three loops (D, anti-codon, and T loops). Lineage: Eukaryota; Metazoa; Chordata; Mammalia; Artiodactyla; Camelidae. RNAcentral also lists the same sequence under 2 other names. The record is from Rfam by way of RNAcentral.
GAGGGAAUAGCUCAGUGGUAGUGUGCGUGCUCAGCAUGCACGAGGUCCUGGGUUCAAUCCCCAGUACUUGUA